AACGCACGAGACCUGCGGACCUGCGGAGGGAUCAUUAACAAAUCCCGUGGCGUGCGAGGGGUGUGCCGCGAGGCGCUCCCUUCGGACGAGCGAGCCGGGCCCCCGAGAGGGGGUUCGCCUGCCGUUCGCGGCAGAAAUGGACGUGAGCCGUGGUCUUAGUCGUCGCUGCCGCUGGGCAGCAGAACACACAACAACUUUCAACAAUGGAUCUCU
Molecule: unclassified non-coding RNA, 213 nt
Filed under: soil metagenome
Description: partial contains 5.8S ribosomal RNA, internal transcribed spacer 2, and large subunit ribosomal RNA
Source: RNAcentral